Non-coding RNA from Oryctolagus cuniculus (rabbit), 499 nucleotides. The record is from RefSeq and is a predicted model, not a curated record. NCBI's taxonomy places the organism in Eukaryota, Metazoa, Chordata, Mammalia, Lagomorpha, Leporidae.
ACAGGCUUCAGGGGAUGACUUGGGUGUGCACACGCAUUCACACAUGUGCGUGCAUGGGCAUGGGAUGCAGAUACACAAGUAUGUGCACACUCCCACACCUGCGGAGGUGUACCUGGGACACAGGCUCCUAGGGGUGCACACACACCCACACCUGCAGAGGUGUGCCUGGGACACGGGCUCCUAGGGGUGCACACUCCCACAUCUGCAGAGGUGUGCCUGGGACACGGGCUCCUAGGGGUGCGCACUCCCACACCUGCAGAGGUGUGCCUGGGACAGGGCUCCUAGGGGUGCUCACUCCCACACCUGCAGAGGUGUACCUGGGACAGGGCUCCUAGGGGUGCACACUCCCACACCUGCAGAGGCUCCUGGGCUGUGCACACCCCCAGGCCUGCCUGCCUGCCUGCGGACAUGCAUACACCAGUGAGUGCUGCUCGGGUCAUUCCAGAACCGACCCAGUGCACACACACACACACACACACACCCCGUGCCCAAGUGCACA